GCUUAGCCGCAAACUUUUAAUUACACUCACAACGCCAGGGUACUACGAGCAAAGCUUAAAACCCAAGGGACUUGACGGUACCCCAUAUCCCCCUAGAGGAGCCUGUCCUAUAAUCGAUAAUCCCCGUUUAACCUCACCAUUUUUAGCCAUAUCAGUCUGUAUACCUCCGUCGCCAAUUUACCACGUGAGCGUCUAAUAGUAAGUGAAAUGUCUCAUUACUCGAUCAUACGUCAGGUCAAGGUGCAGCAAAUAAAAUGGGAAGAGAUGGGCUACACUCUCUAAUUUAGAACAUACGGAAAACUCGUCAUGAAAAGAGUUUGAAGGCGGAUUUAGUAGUAAGAGAGGCUCAGAGAACCCCUCUAAAACCGGCACUGGGGUGUGUACACACCGCCCGUCACCCUCUUCGCAGCCCUUAAAUAGUGUUUUACAACCCCAUGCAUAGUAGAAGAGGCAAGUCGUAACAUGGUAAGUAUACCGGAAGGUGUGCUUGGAAA
This 494-nucleotide ribosomal RNA is filed under the name Bokermannohyla circumdata (Espirito Santo treefrog). RNAcentral describes it as "partial small subunit ribosomal RNA". It matches the Rfam family "Bacterial small subunit ribosomal RNA", at positions 794 to 1522 of the family's 1533-position model. Lineage: Eukaryota; Metazoa; Chordata; Amphibia; Anura; Hylidae. The record is from RNAcentral.